Molecule: small RNA, 127 nt
Filed under: Marmota monax (woodchuck)
Lineage: Eukaryota; Metazoa; Chordata; Mammalia; Rodentia; Sciuridae
Source: RNAcentral
GCUGGGCAUGGUGGUGCACACCUGUAAUCCCAGCAGCUCUGGAGGCUGAGGCAGGGGGAUUGCAAGUGUUAGGCCAGCCUCGGAAACUUAGCAAGGCCCUAAAUAAUUUAGUGAGACCCUAUCUCAA